CAAUGGGAUGCGAAUCUCGAAAGCCUGUCUCAGUUCGGAUUGGAGGCUGAAACCCGCCUCCAUGAAGUUGGAUUCGCUAGUAAUCGCGCAUCAGCCAUGGCGCGGUGAAUACGUUCCCGGGCCUUGUACACACCGCCCGUCACACCAUGAGAGUUGGCAAUACCCAACGUACGUGAUCUAACCCGCAAGGGAGGAAGCGUCCUAAGGUAGGGUCAGCGAUUGGGGUGAAGUCGUAACAAGGUAAC
RNAcentral lists this ribosomal RNA (245 nucleotides) under uncultured bacterium. RNAcentral describes it as "partial 16S ribosomal RNA". It matches the Rfam family "Bacterial small subunit ribosomal RNA", at positions 1258 to 1500 of the family's 1533-position model. The record is from RNAcentral.